RNAcentral lists this ribosomal RNA (1326 nucleotides) under metagenome. RNAcentral describes it as "bacterial LSU rRNA". It matches the Rfam family "Bacterial large subunit ribosomal RNA", at positions 1561 to 2925 of the family's 2925-position model. The record is from RNAcentral.
AGUGGAUGGGGAGCAACCUAGUUGUGCGUGUGUAAAGGUAGUGCCAAGAAAAGCGGUGAUCAUGAUGAAAAUCAAUUCCCGGUACCCGAAACCGACACAGGUGGGCAAGUAGAGAGUACUAAGGGGCGCGAGGUAACUCUCUCCAAGGAACUCGGCAAAAUGACCCCGUAACUUAGGGAGAAGGGGUGCCACCGAGAGGUGGUCGCAGUGAAGAGGCCCAGGCGACUGUUUAGCAAAAACAUAGGUCUCUGCAAACUCGAAAGAGGAGGUAUAGGGGCUGACGCCUGCCCAGUGCCGGAAGGUUAAAGAAGUUGGUCAGUCUUAGGAUGAAGCUAGCGACUGAAGCCCCGGUGAACGGCGGCCGUAACUAUAACGGUCCUAAGGUAGCGAAAUUCCUUGUCGGGUAAGUUCCGACCCGCACGAAAGGCGUAACGAUCUGGGCGCUGUCUCGGAGAGAGGCUCGGCGAAAUAGGAUUGUCUGUGAAGAUACGGACUACCUGCAUUUGGACAGAAAGACCCUAUGAAGCUUUACUAUAGCUUGGAAUUGUGUUCGGGCUUCCUGUGCGCAGGAUAGGUGGGAGGCGUAGAAGGUAUUCUUGUGGGGAUACUGGAGCCAACGGUGAGAUACCACUCUCAGGAGGCUAGAAUUCUAACUUAAUUAAGGACAGUUUCAGGUGGGUAGUUUGACUGGGGCGGUCGCCUCCAAAAAGGUAACGGAGGCGUACAAAGGUUCCCUCAGACUGGUUGGAAAUCAGUCGAAGAGUGCAAAGGCAGAAGGGAGCUUGACUGCGAGAAGUACAGUUCGAGCAGGGUGGAAACACGGUCUUAGUGAUCCGACGGUGCUGUGUGGAAGGGCCGUCGCUCAACGGAUAAAAGUUACUCUAGGAUAACAGGCUGAUCUCCCCCAAGAGUUCACAUCGACGGGGAGGUUUGGCACCUCGAUGUCGGCUCAUCGCAACCUGGGGCGGAAGUACGUCCCAAGGGUUGGGCUGUUCGCCCAUUAAAGCGGUACGUGAGCUGGGUUCAGAACGUCGUGAGACAGUUCGGUCCAUAUCCGAUGUAGGCGUGAGAAUAUUGAGAGGAGCCUUCCUUAGUACGAGAGGACCGGGAAGGACGCACCGCUGGUGUACCUGUUAUGAUGCCAAUUGUAAACGCAGGGUAGCCAAGUGCGGAGAGGAUAACCGCUGAAAGCAUCUAAGUGGGAAGCCCACCUCAAGAUGAGUAUUCUGGUGUAAGGUCACGGGAAGACGACCCGUAAAUAGGCACGAGGUGGAAGUGCAGAGAUGUAUGAAGCCGAAGUGUACUAAUAGACCGUCGGCUUGACCG